Molecule: RNA transcript, 3012 nt
Organism: Asparagus officinalis (garden asparagus)
Lineage: Eukaryota; Viridiplantae; Streptophyta; Magnoliopsida; Asparagales; Asparagaceae
Gene name: potassium transporter 7
Exons: 10
Source: RefSeq, a predicted model, not a curated record
AUCAAGAAAAUAAUAAUCCUACUCGCCUCGUUCGCGGAUCUUUAAUCCCCUCUUCGUUUGUUCUCAUAAUCAAUCGCCUUCAAACUUCUCCAUUUUAUUUUCUCAGAGGUUUAUCGACAAGCAAUUGGUGCUGAAAAUAGAAAAAGGAAGAGGAGAAAGGAGAAGAUUGAGGUCAUCUGAGGCUGAGCUCAAUCGGUCAUGGAUCAAGAGAGGGGGACCACCGAUGACAACCCGCGGAUCCGCUCGAAGGAACACUACAAACAUCUAUUUCUUUUGGCAUAUCAGAGCUUUGGUGUAGUAUAUGGUGAUCUGAGUACUUCUCCUCUUUACGUUUAUAAGAGUACAUUUUCAGGUAGGCUGCGUGAUUAUCAAGAUGAGCAGACAAUAUUUGGUGCUGUAUCCUUGAUCUUUUGGACACUCACUCUGAUCCCGCUGCUCAAAUAUGUGUUCAUUGUGCUGAGUGCUGAUGACAAUGGUGAAGGGGGACCGUUUGCUUUGUACUCUCUCCUUUGCAGACAUGCAAAGUUCAGUUUGCUUCCCAACCAACAAGCAGCUGAUGAAGAGCUCUCAACAUAUUACAGGAAUGGGAACACAAAUCGCAACACAUUUCCCUCUCCAUUGAAAAGGUUUCUAGAGAAGCACAAAAAGCUGAGAACUGCUUUGCUAGUUGUAGUUCUAUUCGGUGCUUGCAUGGUGAUUGGUGAUGGUGUUUUGACGCCAGCUAUCUCUGUUUUGUCAUCGAUUUCUGGGUUGCAAGUUCGUACUAAUAGGUUACAGAACGGUGAGGUUGUAAUAAUCUCUUGUGUUGUGCUGGUUGGCCUCUUCGCAUUGCAGCACCGGGGUACUCAGAGAGUAGCAUUCAUGUUUGCACCAGUUGUUAUCAUUUGGCUGGUGUGCAUUGGAUCAAUUGGGCUAUACAACAUAAUUCGCUGGAAUCCCAGAAUCUACCGUGCCCUUUCACCACACUAUAUCAUUAAAUUUUUCAAAGUGACAGGCAAAGACGGUUGGCUUUCACUAGGGGGGAUACUGUUAUGCAUUACAGGUUCAGAAGCUAUGUUUGCAGAUCUUGGCCACUUUAGUGGUACAUCAAUUAGGGUGGCAUUUGUUGGCAUGAUUUACCCUUGUCUAGUGCUACAAUAUAUGGGACAGGCAGCUUAUCUUUCUAAAAACAUUUCCAAUGUUCGUACGAGCUUCUAUGCAUCUAUUCCAAAGCCUGUAUUUUGGCCUGUCUUUGUUGUAGCCACUCUUGCCGCUAUAGUUGCUAGUCAGGCUGUCAUCUCGGCAACAUUUUCCAUUGUAAAGCAAUGCCAUGCCUUGGGGUGUUUUCCACGUGUUAAGGUUGUUCAUACAUCAAGGUGGAUCUACGGUCAAAUAUAUAUACCUGAAAUAAACUGGAUCCUCAUGGUUCUUUGUUUGGCUGUGACACUUGGAUUCCGUGACACAAACCUUAUCGGCAACGCUUAUGGCAUCGCUUGCAUAGUUGUGAUGUUUGUGACGACAUGGCUAAUGGCACUUGUCAUCAUCUUUGUGUGGCAGAAGCACAUCAUUUUUGCUGCUUUAUUUCUCCUGUUCUUUGGACUGAUAGAGAUAUGUUAUUUAUCUUCUUCAAUCAUGAAAGUUCCUAAGGGAGGAUGGGCACCCCUUGCACUUGCUGUUGUCUUCAUGAUCAUUAUGUAUGUAUGGCACUAUGGCACUCGAAGAAAGUAUCUCUUUGACUUACAGAACAAAGUUUCAAUGAAAUGGAUUCUUACUCUUGGUCCUAGCCUUGGUAUUGUUCGUGUGCCGGGAAUUGGAUUGAUUUACACAGAGCUGGUUACAGGAGUCCCCGCUAUCUUCUCGCACUUUGUAACUAACCUUCCUGCUUUUCAUCAAGUUCUUGUCUUUGUCUGUGUGAAAUCGGUGCCAGUUCCAUAUGUUCCACCAGAUGAACGAUACUUGAUAGGAAGAAUAGGCCCUCGACCCUACAGGAUGUAUCGCUGUAUUGUGAGAUAUGGGUACAAAGAUGUGCAAAAAGAUGAAGAUGAUUUUGAGAAUCAUCUUGUCUUGAGUAUUGCGGAGUUCAUUCAAAUGGAGGCUGAGGAGAACUCUUCAGGGAGCUAUGAGGUAUCUCCAGAGGGAAGAAUGGCGGUUAUAAGGACUUCUGAGAGAUUAGGCACGAGUUUGGUGGUUAGGGAUGCUGAGGAAAAUGGUUUAGGUGAAUCUACUGUUUUGAGAAGUAGCAAAUCCGAAACUCUCCAAAGCUUACAGUCUCUGUAUGAGGAUGAGUCACCAAGUGUAACUCGUAGACGCCGCGUCCGAUUCGAGCUGCCACCUCAGGCCGUGUAUAUAGAUCCACAGGUGAGAGAAGAGUUAGCAGCACUCAUAGAGGCUAAGCAAGCAGGGGUUGCCUAUGUGAUGGGUCACUCGUAUAUAAAGGCCAGAAAGAAUUCAUCAUUUCUGAAGAAGUUUGUUAUCAAUGUGGCCUAUUCUUUCCUUAGAAAAAACUGCAGGGGUCCUGGAGUGGCGCUAAACAUACCUCACAUUAGCCUCAUUGAAGUGGGGAUGAUCUACUAUGUAUAGCUGGCUUCAUUUCUAGAUGCACGUGGGUGUGCUUUUCAUGAUGGCUGGCUAAGGAAAAACAAGAGAGGACCUCUUUGAACAAUGUGGAGUGAAGACUGUCCUAACCAAACAGUGCUUCAACAUAUGCAACAAUGUCGAUCUCGUGCUACUUGUAGUUCUGCAGCUGACAGGCUGAUCAGUUUCUCUCUUGUCAAGCUCUUGUACAUUAUGAAUGUGGAUCUAAGAUCCUUAGCGAUGCAUUAUCUGAAUCCGAUAACACUAUUUUGGUUCCUAUUUUCUAGCUGAAUAGAUAUCUUUGAUCUUUAUGUCGAAAAAUAAGGUAGACAAUAAAUCAGGGUUUUUUUUUUACUGUUGAUGUGCCCUUUCUUGUCAAGUGAAUAAUCAGAAUAUGUAUUUAUGAUUUGAAAUUUUGAGCAUUGACAUGGCUUUUAAAAGAGACUUUUAUUGCGCAAA